Molecule: ribosomal RNA, 253 nt
Filed under: uncultured bacterium
Lineage: Bacteria
Description: partial 16S ribosomal RNA
Rfam family: Bacterial small subunit ribosomal RNA
Source: RNAcentral
UACAGAGGGUGCAAGCGUUAAUCGGAAUUACUGGGCGUAAAGCGCGCGUAGGCGGCUUUGUAAGUUAGAGGUGAAAGCCCGGAGCUCAACUCCGGAACUGCCUUUAAGACUGCAUCGCUAGAAUUGUGGAGAGGUGAGUGGAAUUCCGAGUGUAGAGGUGAAAUUCGUAGAUAUUCGGAAGAACACCAGUGGCGAAGGCGACUCACUGGACACAUAUUGACGCUGAGGUGCGAAAGCGUGGGGAGCAAACAGG